Small nucleolar RNA from Terrapene triunguis (Three-toed box turtle), 214 nucleotides. Its record names the gene U3. It matches the Rfam family "Small nucleolar RNA U3". Rfam says of the family: Small nucleolar RNAs (snoRNAs) are involved in the processing and modification of rRNA in the nucleolus. There are two main classes of snoRNAs: the box C/D class, and the box H/ACA class. The record is from Ensembl. NCBI's taxonomy places the organism in Eukaryota, Metazoa, Chordata, Testudines, Emydidae.
AAAGCUAUGUUUUCAGGGAUCAUUUCUCUAGUUGGUGAGUGGAGAAGGGUGGCUGUAAAAGCCUGGCCUUGCUAGCCAUGAUGAAGAUCUGUAGUGUUUCUUUCUGAGCAUGACAAUGGUAGAGAGUGCUGUUCUGUGGCAGCUGCUUUCUGCUGUGGAAGAGUGUCUUGUUCUUCCUGAGAGGAGCAGGGGAAGGAAACACAGUCUGAGUGGU